Long non-coding RNA from Pezoporus occidentalis (night parrot), 5653 nucleotides. RefSeq lists it as uncharacterized. The transcript is spliced from 2 exons. NCBI's taxonomy places the organism in Eukaryota, Metazoa, Chordata, Aves, Psittaciformes, Psittacidae. The record is from RefSeq and is a predicted model, not a curated record.
GCUAAUAACCAGCUCCAGCUUAUUGCCAGAUUCUGCAAUGAGGGGCACAACCAGACAGCAGUCAAAGUCUCUGGUGCGAACAUGGUUUACCUGGACAAUUAGAAGAUGGAUUUUUGUUACUAUUUCAGGAGAAAGAAAUGAGAUCACAAGAGAAACAGAUUUAUCCUUGAGACUAUGGAACCUGAUUUAAAAAUUCCAGAAUCAUUCAAAUUGAAGGGACUUUGGGAAGUCUUUAUGUUCAACCUCCUGCUCAAGGCAGGCCAAGCCCAAAUUCAGAUCGGGCUGCUGAGGACUUGAUCAGUACUUCACAGAAGAAUGCCAGGGUGCAGCAGUGCCGGAGCACAGUGCUGGUUAGUGGUGCCUUCAGAAAGCUGCUGAGACCCUGCCUUGACUGCUAUGUAAAAAGGUAAGCAAGAACAGACAAGGCUGUCUCUAAACAGGAAUGAGGGAUACAAAUAGUUGGCUUGGGAUUUUGUUCGGUAGUAUUUUUUUAAUUUGUGGGUUUUGGUGUUUGUUUUUUUUUGUGUGUGUGCGUGGUUUGUUUGUUUUUCCCUGUUUUGUUUCAGUUUUCUUGACUUGGCUUUACUGGUGUACCAGUACUGCUUUAACCAUAAUGAAAACAGACUCCCUAAGUAAGUUUGAUACCUAUCCUGGGAAACAGCUGGGAGAAGUUAGAUACAAUGCCAACUGCUGCAACAUUAGCACUGCUGUAUCUGUAGAUGUGGCGGUGGUGCAUUCACUGUUGGGGUGCUGUGAAAACACCUCUGUCUCAUGCCAAGGUAAGCACAAAUACCCACACACGGUAUUCACCCCUUACUUUAUACCAGUUCCUCAACUUCCCUUGUUUUUCUUGCUCUGUACGGCACAGCCAAGAAGAAAGGCACACCUAAAGUCCCCGUAACGGAGCUGAAGGCUUUCUCCCUGCCUGUGACUUUUCUGUCUGAGCUGUCAGUUGAAACUUGCCAGGCACUGCUGUGUUUAAGGUCUUUGCUGGCUUUUCUCCCGUCUUCCUCCAAAGUAACUUUGUGAUGGAAGUCGUAAUUCCUCCAUCUCAGCAUGAAUUUUAGGAGUCAAUGAGCAUUUCAACUACUAAAAAAAACCUAUUGGCAAAUUCAAAAUGAUUCAUCAUCGAAUGAUUUUAGUUUGUAUCAAUGGCUGCUGUACCAGCAGGACUCUGGGAAACUUAUGAUAAUUUGUUAUCAACAGAGAGAGGCUUUUGUUUAUUGUAUCAUAGCAUGUUUAAUAUGGCUUUGAUGUGAAAUACGUUUGAAGCCUCUAUGAAAGUGCUUUAAGAUUACGAUUCUACUAAAUAAAGGAGGGAGAUAUAUUUUAUUGACACAUUUGUGUGCAUUCCAUGGCAGGAAUGAAAAAUAAUUAGCACUGGACCCAAGACACAAACUAUCUUCCAAUGAGGUAACUUUUUUUCCUCACUGUCACAAAGGAUAGGAGUGCUUCAUGUUAAUUACUUCUUAAAGAAGCCUUGAAAAAUAAAGAUGUGAUACAGUGCAUAAGAGAAGAGUUAAAAUACUGUGUCUUCUUCUAGCACAGAUGGCACCAUUUUUCAAAGCAAUUUCCCCUUUCCACUUACUCCUUUUCCCUUUCCUCUUCCUUCAGGCACUGGAGUUGAAUGGAGUUGGAUUCAAUCUCGCAUGAACUACAAAAGCAUAUGAAACAGGGCGCUCUCUGAAGUCAUCUAAACUGAACUCUUGACCUACAGGAGGGUCAACUGCAUCUAACAGAUUUCUGAGAGACAUUCGUCUGUCCUGCUUUUUAAGAUCUCCAGUGAUGGAGACUCCACAGUCUAGUACAGUAAUCCCUUCCAGUGCUUCAGAUGUUUUCACCCUUGCUGAGAGUUAAGCUGCCUGUCCACAGAGAAGAAGGUCACUUUAUUCUCUCUUUCACUGCAGUGAUGUGAAACAAGGUUUGUUUUUCUCUGGACUCUGUUCAGUAGGUCAGCAUCCUUCUUUAAUUUUCAGACUCCAAACUGUACACUCUAUUACAGUCCAGACCUUAUCAAAGAAAAGUUGUAGUAGAGAAUAAUUCUGUGUGUACUAAAGAUAGUGGUCCCAUUUGUAUGUUUCUAAGACACUUGCUUUUUCCCUGGUUUUAGUGAGUGGCCUAAAAUGAAAUACAUACAAAUUCUACUCUACAGAUCUACAGGAAGUGCCAUUCCACAUUAGCUCACUUUAGCUUGUCUCUAAUAAUGCACACACUACUUCAUGCCCAGCUUGUAACUCAGAAAAAGGAAUACUGCAAAAAGGGGCAUAAAAGCGGAGUUUUGCUGUAGGGGGACAGUGGGAAGUACUGCAGUUGGGGGUGGGUGUGUGACAGGAGGGGAGCAGAACUUGAGCAUCUAAAUGUCUUGUAUUGCCCCCCUAAUUGUUCAGGUUGGACAUUCCUGAUUUAUAUGGGCUGAGCACUCUGGAAGGGAAUUACUACCCUGCAAUUGCAACUGUUACAUAUCAAAAUAUCUCCUCAUUUCAGUGGUUCUUCAGAUCUACAGAUCCUAGAAUAUUUUUAAAAACUGUUUCCUAUAUGGCUGUCUUCUCUUGACUUCUGGGUUAUUUGACAGGAGCUUGGAAAUUAAAGAAACUGAGAGUUAUUCACUUAAGGGAUGAGGCUGAGAUUUAGCUAUCACAUUACUUAGGUGCAAGUCAUCUGCACAGCAUUUUCUUUUGCAUAUACAGGUUAUAAUUUUGGGGGCAAUUCUUUUUGGGGCAGCAUGUAUUCUUCAAAGAGAAUUGCAGAGUAAAAACCUCACUAUCUGGAAUAGCCAGGUUUUUAGUUAAUAACAGGUAUGGGCAAAGCCCUACCACUCAAGUUUCUCAUCUUCACUAGCCAGUAGCACAGUCAAUUCACACAACACCUGGUAAAAUCGUGCUGGUUUAUCUGUAUUUCUGAUCACAACUGUUCAGAAGGUUUGAUCUUGAUAGCAAAAUCUCCAUUAUGGGCAGUUUGUUAGACUUUUCAAUUUACAUCAGGAGCCUAAGGGAAAAAGAAAGCUGAAAUGGGAAGUUCAUUCAUAUUUCAUAAGCAAUUAAAUAGUUACAAAUUUAAAAGAGACGCUUACACAUUUUGAAUCUGUUUCUAUGCCUCUUCUCCCUCUCAAUUCUAUGGGAAAAUGCUUAAUUUAAAUUCAUACAUCUUGCACAGAUCAGCUAUUAAGGUAUUUUACCUGACUGUGAUUUUAGGUUAAUGACUACUUGCAGUAAUAAUAUUGAAAAAUUAUGUGAUAUCUAGUUCGUAUUUUUGCUCUCAGAGGAACGUGUGCUCUAUGAAACUUUAACAAAAAUGCUCCGCUGUGAGUUUUAGAAAAAUAUUAAUCUGUAUGAUUACCUAGGUAGAUAAAACCAAUUAAAGACAUUCAUUAAUUUGGGUACUGAUACAGCAAUAUGUUCUCCAGCUAAAUUAAACGUUACUUAUUAAACCAUCUAGAACAAAUGUUUGAAGAGAUCUGCACGACACUUAUCUCAAUCCUAGCAUCCUCAGGACAAAGACAGUUCAAGUACACAUUUGGUGAACGUAAUGCUGUGAAGUAAGAAAGAGCAGUGAAGGAUUCAGCUUAACUUGCUGCAAAGUUUGCAGCUUUCAGCAAAAUAAUCCUCGGGGCUGUGUCACCUUUCUGACAGGUGUAUAGCUGAGGAGGACAAGCUAGCAAUGCAAUCUGCUCUCCAUGCUGUUCCAUUAGACUUACUCAUCUGUGUUUGUAGCCUGAGCAAUUCUCAUCUCGUCUCAGUCUUUCAGCCCAUACAGCCAGGCCGGCCAUUGAUACAUUUCAUUUUAAUGGCUUUUCCUUUGGUAGAAUCUUAUAUUCUUGCUCUCUCACAAUCAAGUUAUGAAAAACCAGUGGAACAUCAACCUUAGCUAACCCAUUUUCUGCAAUCAGACUUCAGGUAUGAACUCUGAGCUACAGUGCACAUGGGCCCUGGCUCAACAGGCGUGCAGGCUCAUCGCACUGAGGCAGUAACAAGGUACCUGACCUGUCCUGCAGAAGAAACUGGGAAACCUCAGCAGCAUGCAGACAAGUACACGCUUGAAGGUCUUACUGAGGUAGGUCUUAGGCAAGCUGUGUCUUAGCUUGCAUUUCAAAGACUAUUUAUACCAUCACAGUUUUCCAAAACCAGUUUGUAUUUCGCUGGUUGUCUCACCAGCGGCCCAACAGCAAGAUCUCUUAGGAAAAUACGUAUUGCAUCAACUCAGGAGAGAGGGGAAAAGUGGGUAUAUUGUCUGAAAAAAACCUGGAAGUCAUCAAAAACAGAAGGUCACAGCAAUCUUAAAAGAUAGGCAACUGAAGAGAGAGAAAGCUCAAGGACAGGGUAUUUUGUACUGCCCAGGACUCUUUAAGAGGUAGCAGCUAUCAUAGAAUACUGAUUCAUUAAUAAAAUCUGACUGCUCCUUUUCAGGAAAAGAUCUAUUUUAUCCAUCAUGAAAGGCUGGUUUUAUAAUUCACAGGAGAAAACUGUGCCUUUGCUAAACAUGAGCACUCUGUGAAAUGCCUACUGGUGUAGUUUUGAUUUACAUCCCACAUUUUUUCGCCAUUCAGGAAAUGUAAGCACAGUAACUAACACCAUUAAUCACUUCAUAUCAAGCUGGAAAUAUGAAUACCUUAAAACUAUCACAACACAUCCUACUGAUUGUUUACAUUGGCAGUGGAUUAAUUUGCCAUAUGUAAAAUCCACUCCCUACUACCUUCUGUAAACAUUCAUUUAGCCCUUACUCAAUGAGUCCUUACCUCGCUGAAUGAAACUGAAUGAACUACAACCUAAACUCAGUCAAACCCACAGGCACUAGAAACCGAACCAACUCUCUUAAGAACAACAACCUCUUAGUGGUAUUUCUCCAUACUUUUGCCUCCUUUCUGGGAAGUUCUUAGACCUUUAAGAGGAAGAUGGGUGCAGGAGACAGGAUCCUCAUUGCCAUCAAGGAGAAAAGCAUUAUAAUGUCCCCAAAAGUUUUGGAAACUGGUUGCUAUUAUGGCCUCACUGGACUUGAAAUUUAAACCAGCAGGGUGUUUGCUGCGCACAUCUAAAGAUACGUUAUCCGGUACUUGGGCUGCAGAGAGGCCAAUCACCAGGUGAUUUUGACAGCCUUGAGCCAUGAAAAGUUGCAUAGACUGAAGAUUAUUUAUCCUUUUAGAGCAAAGGAAUUACAAAGAGAAGAGACGGAAUAGCUAAUUUGAAAUAACAUUCAAUAUUACGUACAUUGAGUCUCAUGUAUUUGAUUCAAAAUGAGUGUUAAUUUGGAAAAGGACCAAUGGGAGCCCCAAACCCUCUUGAGUAAUUUCCUAAAGAAAUGUAUUUCCUAGAAAUUAAACUUUGCUUUCUUAAUGAACACAUUUUGCAGAGAUGAGUUAUUGGAAUUGUCAAUUCAAAUUACCCGUGGAUGCUCCCUGCAAAAGAGUAGUCCCUUUUGAGGAUUUAUUGUAAAACAAAAUAGUAGACAAGGAUGCAUUUUAUUUGUAAGUUUCCCCCACAAGGAUGUAUCAUUAAUGUGUAUGAACUAAUAUGCAUGGCCCCCAAAUUACAUCUGUGGAGUCAUUAUAAAAAGUGCUUACUGCAUUGCCAUAGAAUUAAAUUCCCUAUACUGAAUAUAUUAUUUCAAAGCUGUCAGAAGAAAAAUUACAGACCUUGUGUAACUCCACAGGAGUUGGUGA